RNAcentral lists this ribosomal RNA (301 nucleotides) under uncultured bacterium. RNAcentral describes it as "partial 16S ribosomal RNA". It matches the Rfam family "Bacterial small subunit ribosomal RNA", at positions 509 to 807 of the family's 1533-position model. The record is from RNAcentral.
CAGCCGCCGCGGUAAUACGAAGGGUGCAAGCGUUACUCGGAAUUACUGGGCGUAAAGCGUGCGUAGAUGGUGGUUUAAGUCCGUUGUGAAAGCCCUGGGCUCAACCUGGGAAUUGCAGUGGAUACUGGGUCACUAGAGUGUGGUAGAGGAUAGUGGAAUUUCCGGUGUAGCAGUGAAAUGCGUAGAGAUCGGAAGGAACAUCUGUGGCGAAGGCGACUAUCUGGGCCAACACUGACACUGAGGCACGAAAGCGUGGGGAGCAAACAGGAUUAGAUACCCCAGUAGUCCCUGUCUCUUAUAC